UGGGAGUAAAGUUGGUAAGC
Molecule: non-coding RNA, 20 nt
Filed under: Rattus norvegicus (Norway rat)
Lineage: Eukaryota; Metazoa; Chordata; Mammalia; Rodentia; Muridae
Source: RNAcentral